CAGACAUGCAAGUCGAACGAUUAAAGCUUCCUUCGGGAAGUGCAUAAAGUGGCGCACGGGUGAGUAACACGUAAGUAAUCUACCCUCGAGUGGGGAAUAACGUUCGGAAACGGACGCUAAUACCGCAUAAUGCAGCGGCACCGCAAGGUGGCAGUUGUUAAAGAUUUAUUGCUUGAGGAGGAGCUUGCGGCAGGUUAGCUAGUUGGUAAGGUAAUGGCUUACCAAGGCUACGAUCUGUAUCCGGUCUAAGAGGACGGUCGGACACACUGACACUGAAUAACGGGUCAGACUCCUACGGGAGGCAGCAGUCGGGAAUUUUGGGCAAUGGGGGAAACCCUGACCCAGCAACGCCGCGUGAAGGAUGAAGUAUUUCGGUAUGUAAACUUCGAAAGAAUAGGAAGAAUUAAUGACGGUACUAUUUAUAAG
Molecule: ribosomal RNA, 426 nt
Filed under: grassland soil clone saf1_109
Lineage: Bacteria
Description: bacterial SSU rRNA
Rfam family: Bacterial small subunit ribosomal RNA
Source: RNAcentral